AGUCCUACGGGGCGCAGCAGUGAGGAAUAUUGGUCAAUGGGCGAGAGCCUGAACCAGCCAAGUCGCGUGAAGGAUGACGGCCCUAUGGGUUGUAAACUUCUUUUGUCAGGGAGCAAUUGGGUCCACGCGUGGGCUUAGCGAGAGUACCUGAAGAAAAAGCAUCGGCUAACUCCGUGCCAGCAGCCGCGGUAAUACGGAGGAUGCGAGCGUUAUCCGGAUUUAUUGGGUUUAAAGGGUGCGUAGGCGGAAUAUCAAGUCAGCGGUAAAAAUUCGGGGCUCAACCCCAUCGUGCCGUUGAAACUGAU
This 305-nucleotide ribosomal RNA is filed under the name uncultured bacterium. RNAcentral describes it as "bacterial SSU rRNA". It matches the Rfam family "Bacterial small subunit ribosomal RNA", at positions 335 to 637 of the family's 1533-position model. The record is from RNAcentral.